Molecule: non-coding RNA, 72 nt
Organism: Protobothrops mucrosquamatus (brown spotted pit viper)
Lineage: Eukaryota; Metazoa; Chordata; Lepidosauria; Squamata; Viperidae
Source: the annotation of a RefSeq genome assembly
GAGUUACUAGCUCAAUGGAAGAGUUCUCGGCUUUUAACCGAUAGGUUCUGGGUUCAAUUCUCAGGUAACUCA